AGAGAGAGACAUGCGCGCAUAUCAAUAAGCGGAGGAAAAGAAACUAACAAGGAUUCCCCUAGUAACGGCGAGUGAAGCGGGAAGAGCUCAAAUUUGAAAUCUUAAAGGGUUUCCCUUUACGAAUUGUAGUUUAAAGAAGUGUUUUCUGUUGAGGUUUUGGUAAAAGUUCUUUGGAAUAGGACAUCAUAGAGGGUGAGAAUCCCGUAUUUGACCUUUACUUUCAACUUUGUGAUACACUUUCAAAGAGUCGGAUUGUUUGGGAAUGCAGUCCAAAAUGGGUGGUAAAUUUCAUCUAAAGCUAAAUAUUGGCGAGAGACCGAUAGCGAACAAGUACCGUGAGGGAAAGAUGAAAAGAACUUUGAAAAGAGAGUUAAACAGUACGUGAAAUUGUCAAAAGGGAAGCGUUUGACACCAGCUGUUGUUUUUCUGAAAAUCAAUUAAAGAACUGUUUAUGCUAAGCUGUUUAGACUUUAUCAGCUAAUCUGUUUAGUUUUGAGCUUUUCUUUAAUGCACUUUUCAGUUAACAAGUCAACAUCAAUUUCUUUUGCUGUAAAAAAGCUUGAGGAAGGUGGCUUGAGAUUCGUCUUAAGUGUUUAUAGCCUCUUGCCUAUGCAGUCGGAGAGAUUGAGGUCUGCAGCGUAGAUCCUUCGGGGCUAAAUGCAUUUGUGCUAAGUUAUAGCAUUUUAUAGACAACUUGUUGACUAUGAUUUGUCUUGUAGCUUACUCGCUUAUGUUAUUUUACCUACGCUUAGGAUGUUGACGCAUGAGAUAUACGC
RNAcentral lists this ribosomal RNA (776 nucleotides) under uncultured Neocallimastigales. Its description in RNAcentral is "partial large subunit ribosomal RNA". It matches the Rfam family "Eukaryotic large subunit ribosomal RNA", at positions 23 to 647 of the family's 3401-position model. Lineage: Eukaryota; Fungi; Neocallimastigomycota; Neocallimastigomycetes; Neocallimastigales. The record is from RNAcentral.